This is a long non-coding RNA of Humulus lupulus (European hop), 552 nucleotides long. RefSeq lists it as uncharacterized. Lineage: Eukaryota; Viridiplantae; Streptophyta; Magnoliopsida; Rosales; Cannabaceae. The record is from RefSeq and is a predicted model, not a curated record. The transcript is spliced from 4 exons.
ACUUUCUGAUCAUCCCUUGAGUAUAGAGCGUAUAGUAAUGUUUGAAGAGUGAAUAAGUUUAAUAUAUUUAAAAGAACUCCUUAGGGUCCGAUUUUUCAUCUCAUUUUCUUCAUCGUUAUUUCUAUUAACAUUGAUUUGGAGAAUCCCUAGGUGUGCAUUGUUUCUCUCUAAUUUUUCAAAAAGUAGUAGUGAGGAGGUAAUCUGGUUUUUGUUUGUCUCUAUCUUUCUCUACCGAGGUCAGUACGUCAGAGCUGUCUUUCUACAUUUAUGCUUCGUACUUCCUAGAAAUUUCAUGAUCUUCUUAUGCAUGCAGAGGGAAGAAGCAGUAUGAACCACCUAGGUACAUGACAAUAAAGACUGCCAUUGAGCAGCUCCUGGAAGUUGUGCAAGCAAAAGUAGAAUCUGUCUGCAAUGAAGACACGGAGUGUGUUGGUUUUGCUAGAAUUGGAAGUGAAGAUCAGAUCAUUGUGGCUGGUACAAUGAAGCAACUUCAAUUGCAUGUUUCUUUCCUAUCAAAUAGUACUAUAAGAGUGUGCAACUACUCAAAUUUUG